UCCCUGAUGGCCUAGUGGUCAGGAUUCAGGCUUUCCCUGCCAUGACUCUGGUUCAAUUCCUGGUCAGGGAA
Molecule: transfer RNA, 71 nt
Filed under: Ovis aries (sheep)
Lineage: Eukaryota; Metazoa; Chordata; Mammalia; Artiodactyla; Bovidae
Rfam family: tRNA
About the family: Transfer RNA (tRNA) molecules are approximately 80 nucleotides in length. Their secondary structure includes four short double-helical elements and three loops (D, anti-codon, and T loops). Further hydrogen bonds mediate the characteristic L-shaped molecular structure. tRNAs have two regions of fundamental functional importance: the anti-codon, which is responsible for specific mRNA codon recognition, and the 3' end, to which the tRNAs corresponding amino acid is attached (by aminoacyl-tRNA synthetases). tRNAs cope with the degeneracy of the genetic code in two manners: having more than one tRNA (with a specific anti-codon) for a particular amino acid; and 'wobble' base-pairing, i.e. permitting non-standard base-pairing at the 3rd anti-codon position.
Source: Rfam by way of RNAcentral